RNAcentral lists this transfer RNA (75 nucleotides) under Shigella flexneri 2002017. Its description in RNAcentral is "tRNA-Pro". It matches the Rfam family "tRNA". From Rfam's summary of the family: Transfer RNA (tRNA) molecules are approximately 80 nucleotides in length. Lineage: Bacteria; Pseudomonadati; Pseudomonadota; Gammaproteobacteria; Enterobacterales; Enterobacteriaceae. The record is from RNAcentral.
CGGCACGUAGCGCAGCCUGGUAGCGCACCGUCAUGGGGUGUCGGGGGUCGGGAGGUUCAAAUCCUCUCGUGCCGA